CCAAUAGCGUAUAUUAAAGUUGUUGCAGUUAAAAAGCUCGUAGUUGAAUUUCGGGAUUGACGUGAUGGUCAUGCCUUAAGGGGUAUGAACUGUUGCUGUUGAUUUCUCACCUUCUGGAGAAACUUGAUGUCCUUUAUUGGGUGUCUUGCGGAUCCAGGACCUUUACCUUGAAAAAAUUAGAGUGUUUAAAGCAGGCAUUUUUGCUCGAAU
This 210-nucleotide ribosomal RNA is filed under the name uncultured Entrophospora. RNAcentral describes it as "uncultured Claroideoglomus partial small subunit ribosomal RNA". It matches the Rfam family "Eukaryotic small subunit ribosomal RNA", at positions 591 to 800 of the family's 1831-position model. The record is from RNAcentral. Lineage: Eukaryota; Fungi; Glomeromycota; Glomeromycetes; Entrophosporales; Entrophosporaceae.